AAGAAUUGAAGGGGAUUACUAAAUGAUUUAGUUUUUUAGGGGUAAAAAAAUAAAUUUUUAUUUUAGUAAUAAAAUGAGAAAAUUAAGGGAGUUAUAGUUAAUUAGUAUUGCAAAAGAAUUCUUUUUUAGGGGUAAAAGAAGAAUUUUGUAUUUGUACCUUGUGUAUCAGGGUUUAUUAAUUAGUAUAAAGAAUGUGUUUUCUCGAAUUCAAAAGGGCUAAGAUUAUAAAUAUUUUAUUGUAAAAUAAAUAUUUAAAAUAUAAUUUUAGUAAUGAAACGUUAUUCGUUUUUGAUAUAUCUAGUUAUUUAAGAAAGAAAUUAAAUUUUUUUAUUUUUAAUAUUUAUUCAAUUUGGGGGUUUAAUGUUAAAAAUAAGCAAUUUUUUAGGGGAUGAGCUUUAAAGAAAAUAUAUAUAAAUUAUAAAUAUUAUAGAAAAAAUUAUAGGAUUAGAAGUGUCUACUUAUGUAAUAAUGUUAUAAUUGAUUUUAGGGGGAAUAAUAUUUAUAUAAUUUUUAUAUUUUUUAUUAAAUUGAGAUCUUGAAUUUUGAUUGAUGGGUAAUUAUGAUGGGAUUAGUAAUUUUAUGUUGUUGAGUUUAAUUUAUAAGGGGAGAUAAAUUAAAGGAAUUCGGCAAAAAAUUUUCUACCUGUUUAUUAAAAACAUGGCCUUUUGUUUAAAAUUUAAGGUCUGGCCUGCCCACUGAGGAUUUUAAAGGCCGCGGUAACUUGACCGUGCUAAGGUAGCAUAAUCAUUAGUUUUUUAAUUGAAAGCUGGAAUGAAUGGUCGGAUGAGAAAAUAGCUGUCUCUAGUUUAGCUUAAAUGAAUUUUAUUUUUAAGUAAAAAAGCUUAAAUUUUUUUGAAAGACGAGAAGACCCUAUAGAGUUUUAUAAUUUUUGGGCUUUAAAUUUUUUGUAUUUUGAUUUUGUAGUUUUAGAAUUAUUUGAUUGGGGUGAUUGAAAAAUUUGAUAAACUUUUUUUAAAUCGAUACAUUGAUUUAUGAGUAUUUGAUCCAUUGUUUAUGAUUAAAAGAUUAAAUUACCUUAGGGAUAACAGCGUAAUUUUUUUUGAGAGUUCAAAUCGAAAGGAGAGAUUGCGACCUCGAUGUUGGAUUAAAAUUAAGUUUUGGUGUAGAGGCUAAACAGUUUAGGUCUGUUCGACCUUUAAAAUUUUACAUGAUCUGAGUUUAAACCGGUGUGAGCCAGGUUGGUUUCUAUCUUUAAAGGAUUUACAUAUUUUAGUACGAAAGGACCAAAUAUGUAGUAAAUUGUUUUAUUCACGAAUGCCAGU
RNAcentral lists this ribosomal RNA (1283 nucleotides) under Batocera horsfieldi. RNAcentral describes it as "16S ribosomal RNA". The stretch from base 828 to 1283 matches the Rfam family "Bacterial large subunit ribosomal RNA", at positions 2048 to 2733 of the family's 2925-position model. Lineage: Eukaryota; Metazoa; Arthropoda; Insecta; Coleoptera; Cerambycidae. The record is from RNAcentral.